Molecule: ribosomal RNA, 617 nt
Filed under: Vibrio astriarenae
Lineage: Bacteria; Pseudomonadati; Pseudomonadota; Gammaproteobacteria; Vibrionales; Vibrionaceae
Description: partial 16S ribosomal RNA
Rfam family: Bacterial small subunit ribosomal RNA
Source: RNAcentral
UGCAGUCGAGCGGAACGAGUUAUCUGAACCUUCGGGGGACGAUAACGGCGUCGAGCGGCGGACGGGUGAGUAAUGCCUAGGAAAUUGCCCUGAUGUGGGGGAUAACCAUUGGAAACGAUGGCUAAUACCGCAUAAUGCCUACGGGCCAAAGAGGGGGACCUUCGGGCCUCUCGCGUCAGGAUAUGCCUAGGUGGGAUUAGCUAGUUGGUGAGGUAAUGGCUCACCAAGGCGACGAUCCCUAGCUGGUCUGAGAGGAUGAUCAGCCACACUGGAACUGAGACACGGUCCAGACUCCUACGGGAGGCAGCAGUGGGGAAUAUUGCACAAUGGGCGCAAGCCUGAUGCAGCCAUGCCGCGUGUGUGAAGAAGGCCUUCGGGUUGUAAAGCACUUUCAGUCGUGAGGAAGGUAGUGUAGUUAAUAGCUGCAUUAUUUGACGUUAGCGACAGAAGAAGCACCGGCUAACUCCGUGCCAGCAGCCGCGGUAAUACGGAGGGUGCGAGCGUUAAUCGGAAUUACUGGGCGUAAAGCGCAUGCAGGUGGUUUGUUAAGUCAGAUGUGAAAGCCCGGGGCUCAACCUCGGAAUUGCAUUUGAAACUGGCAGACUAGAGUACUGUAG